CGCCUGUUUAUCAAAAACAUAGCCUUUAGCCAGACAAGUAUUAAAGGUAAUGCCUGCCCAGUGAAUCCACUUUCAACGGCCGCGGUACCCUAACCGUGCAAAGGUAGCGUAAUCAUUUGUCCACUAAUUAUGGACCUGUAUGAAAGGCCACAUGAGAAUCUAACUGUCUCUUGUAACUAAUUUAUAAAACUGAUCUUCUAGUCCAAAAGCUAGAAUACCCAUAUAAGACGAGAAGACCCUGUGAAGCUUUAAAAACCCCAUUAAACCUGCUAAUGGGUAUUUUUAGUUGGGGCAACUUUGGAAAACAAUUAAACUUCCAAA
RNAcentral lists this ribosomal RNA (321 nucleotides) under Typhlops sp. SBH-2014a. Its description in RNAcentral is "partial 16S ribosomal RNA". It matches the Rfam family "Bacterial large subunit ribosomal RNA", at positions 1797 to 2308 of the family's 2925-position model. Lineage: Eukaryota; Metazoa; Chordata; Lepidosauria; Squamata; Typhlopidae. The record is from RNAcentral.